GCCAUGCGCUGCUAUCUGCAGUCGACGAGGUGCUUUGUAGCGUACGAAGUAUCCUAGUGGCGAACGGGUGAGUAACACGUUGGUGACCUGCCCCAAAGUGUGGGAUAACAGUCCGAAAGGAUUGCUAAUACCACAUGUGGUCUCUGGGUUUAGAAACCGGUGACUAAAGGAGUAAUUCGCUUUGGGAGGGACCUGCGUCCCAUCAGCUAGUUGGUGAGGUAACGGCUCACCAAGGCGACGACGGGUAGGGGACCUGAGAGGGUGGCCCCCCACAAUGGAACUGAAACACGGUCCAUACACCUACGGGUGGCAGCAGUAGGGAAUAUUGGUCAAUGGGCGAAAGCCUGAACCAGCAACGCCGCGUGUGCGAUGAAGGCCUUCGGGUCGUAAAGCACUUUUCUGGGAGAUGAGAAAGGACAGUAUCCCAGGAAUAAGUCUCGGCUAACUACGUGCCAGCAGCCGCGGUAAAACGUAGGAGGCGAGCGUUAUCCGGAUUCACUGGGCGUAAAGCGCGUGCAGGUGGCUUGGUAAGUUAGGCGUGAAAUCUCCCGGCUCAACUGGGAGAGGUCGUCUAAUACUACCGGGCUUGAGAGCAGAAGAGGAAGAUGGAAUUCCCGGUGUAGUGGUGAAAUGCGUAGAUAUCGGGAGGAACACCAGUGGCGAAGGCGAUCUUCUGGUCUGUUUCUGACACUCAGACGCGACAGCUAGGGUAGUAAGCGGGAUUAGAGACCCCGGUAAUCCUAGCCGUAAACGAUGUGAACUUGGCGUUGGUGGGUUAAACUCCAUCAGUGCCGCAGCAAACGCGAUAAGUUCACCGCCUGGGGACUACGGCCGCAAGGUUAAAACUCAAAGGAAUUGACGG
This 862-nucleotide ribosomal RNA is filed under the name uncultured Chloroflexota bacterium. RNAcentral describes it as "bacterial SSU rRNA". It matches the Rfam family "Bacterial small subunit ribosomal RNA", at positions 41 to 916 of the family's 1533-position model. The record is from RNAcentral. Lineage: Bacteria; Bacillati; Chloroflexota.